CCAGUUAUCGUGCCAACGGUAAACGCUGGGUAGCCAAGUGCGGAGAGGAUAACCGCUGAAAGCAUCUAAGUGGGAAGCCCACCUCAAGAUGAGUACUCUCACUCUGUUAAGGAGGUAAGGUCACAGCAAGAACAGCUGUUGAUAGGCGUUAGGUGGAAGUUUAGUAAUAGAUGAAGCCGAGACGUACUAACUGACCGAGGGCUUGACCACAA
RNAcentral lists this ribosomal RNA (212 nucleotides) under Moorena sp. SIO4A3. RNAcentral's name for it is "partial 23S ribosomal RNA". It matches the Rfam family "Bacterial large subunit ribosomal RNA", at positions 2717 to 2925 of the family's 2925-position model. The record is from RNAcentral. Lineage: Bacteria; Bacillati; Cyanobacteriota; Cyanophyceae; Coleofasciculales; Coleofasciculaceae.